This 424-nucleotide ribosomal RNA is filed under the name uncultured bacterium. Its description in RNAcentral is "bacterial SSU rRNA". It matches the Rfam family "Bacterial small subunit ribosomal RNA", at positions 355 to 796 of the family's 1533-position model. The record is from RNAcentral.
UGGGGAAUAUUGGACAAUGGGCGCAAGCCUGAUCCAGCAAUGCCGCGUGAGUGAGGAAGGCCUUAGGGUUGUAAAGCUCUUUCGCACGCGACGAUGAUGACGGUAGCGUGAGAAGAAGCCCCGGCUAACUUCGUGCCAGCAGCCGCGGUAAUACGAAGGGGGCGAGCGUUGUUCGGAUUUACUGGGCGUAAAGGGCGCGCAGGCGGCAGAUCAAGUCAGACGUGAAAGCCCCGGGCUUAACCUGGGAACUGCGUUUGGGACUGAUUUGCUAGAGAUCGGGAGAGGAGAGUGGAAUUCCCAGUGUAGAGGUGAAAUUCGUAGAUAUUGGGAAGAACACCGGUGGCGAAGGCGGCUCUCUGGACCGAUACUGACGCUGAGGCGCGAAAGCGUGGGGAGCAAACAGGAUUAGAUACCCCCGUAGUCC